Molecule: transfer RNA, 73 nt
Filed under: Camelus bactrianus (Bactrian camel)
Lineage: Eukaryota; Metazoa; Chordata; Mammalia; Artiodactyla; Camelidae
Also listed under: 2 other names
Rfam family: tRNA
About the family: Transfer RNA (tRNA) molecules are approximately 80 nucleotides in length. Their secondary structure includes four short double-helical elements and three loops (D, anti-codon, and T loops).
Source: Rfam by way of RNAcentral
GGAGGGAUAGUUCAAAUGGUAGAGCGCAUACUUAGCAUGCAUGAGGUCCUGGGUUCAAUCCCCAGUAGCUCCA